UUCAGGGUGUGGGGAUUGGUCAGCGGUCCUCUCAUUGAUUUGGAUUGGAGCUCAAUCAAACUUGAGACUAUCGUGGCCCACUGGUUUCAUCUGUUCUUAUUAUUUGAUAGUACAGAAGGCUAAAACUAAUUUCUGAAAUACAAGAAGAAGAAAGGGUGCACGAGCCCUAUGCAUCUCUGUUGCGCCCAAGAGAACAGAUAGCUGCUGUGUUGGUGUCCUGACAGAUGAAGAGAGAUGAACAAAGCAUCUUUAAAAGAAGACCUGGUCUGGGCCUUGAGGGGUGCUGGAUCUGAGUCCCUGAUACACAUUGCUGAUUGAGAAGGGAAAAGAAAGAAAGGAGUGAAGGGCAACACUACGUGACAAACUGCUUUUUGAGGCAGAGGAGGAGGGGAUUUAAAUUGGAGCGCCGUCUUUUUCUCUCAUUGUAUUUAAUGGCUCUUAUUGUGAGGGCUGUCAGGCCACAAGGGAUCCUUGAAGGAGGGAUAGGGCCAUUCCUUCUGCCACUCUGAAGAAAAGAUAAAGGGAGAAGUGGAUCAAGAAAAGAAG
Molecule: long non-coding RNA, 546 nt
Organism: Notolabrus celidotus (New Zealand spotty)
Lineage: Eukaryota; Metazoa; Chordata; Actinopteri; Labriformes; Labridae
Exons: 4
Source: RefSeq, a predicted model, not a curated record